This 497-nucleotide ribosomal RNA is filed under the name uncultured bacterium. RNAcentral describes it as "partial 16S ribosomal RNA". It matches the Rfam family "Bacterial small subunit ribosomal RNA", at positions 28 to 507 of the family's 1533-position model. The record is from RNAcentral.
GAUGAACGCUGGCGGCGUGCCUAAUACAUGCAAGUCGAGCGAACAGAUAAGGAGCUUGCUCCUUUGACGUUAGCGGCGGACGGGUGAGUAACACGUGGGUAACCUACCUAUAAGACUGGAAUAACUCCGGGAAACCGGGGCUAAUGCCGGAUAACAUUUAGAACCGCAUGGUUCUAAAGUGAAAGAUGGUUUUACUAUCACUUAUAGAUGGACCCGCGCCGUAUUAGCUAGUUGGUAAGGUAACGGCUUACCAAGGCAACGAUACGUAGCCGACCUGAGAGGGUGAUCGGCCACACUGGAACUGAGACACGGUCCAGACUCCUACGGGACGCAGCAGUAGGGAAUCUUCCGCAAUGGGCGAAAGCCUGACGGAGCAACGCCGCGUGAGUGAUGAAGGUCUUCGGAUCGUAAAACUCUGUUAUUAGGGAAGAACAAAUGUGUAAGUAACUGUGCACGUCUUGACGGUACCUAAUCAGAAAGCCACGGCUAACUACGUG